Molecule: ribosomal RNA, 290 nt
Filed under: uncultured soil bacterium
Lineage: Bacteria
Description: partial 16S ribosomal RNA
Rfam family: Bacterial small subunit ribosomal RNA
Source: RNAcentral
AGAACGAACGCUGGCGGCAUGCCUAACACAUGCAAGUCGAACGAGACCUUCGGGUCUAGUGGCGCACGGGUGCGUAACGCGUGGGAAUCUGCCCUUGGGUUCGGAAUAACAGCGAGAAAUUGCUGCUAAUACCGGAUGAUGACGUAAGUCCAAAGAUUUAUCGCCCAAGGAUGAGCCCGCGUAGGAUUAGCUUGUUGGUGAGGUAAGAGCUCACCGAAGGCGACGAUCCUUAGCUGGUCUGAGAGGAUGAUCAGCCACACUGGGACUGAGACACCGGCCCAGACUCCGUA